GCUGCACAGGCUGUGCACUCACAGCUCCAAGCUGCAUCGUUCAGAAUCUGUCAUCAACAGGGUUCUGUGGAGUUGAGCAGUGCACAACCUACGCAACUGCCCAUGCCCAUUGCAGUCCUGGCUCCUGAUACACAGUUAGGAUGAAGCAUGGGGGAGGCGGGCAAGUGACUCACUCGAACUUGGGAAAUGAUGUUCAAGGCAACCACAGGGCUCCUUAGGUAAACUGAUCUUUUUUCAGGGGAGAGGGGAGACAGGAUCUCACUCUGUUGCCCAGGCUGGAGAGUAGUGGUGCAAUACCAGCUCACUGCAGCCUCAACUUCCCAGGCUCCAGUGAUCCUCCUGCCUCAGCCUCCCUAAGUGCUGGGAUAACAGGCGUGAGCUACUGUGCUGGCCGAUUGAUCUUUUUUUAAACCUCCUACACUAAGCUGAAUUGAAUGCGGGUUCUGUCAUCUGUUGGCAUUCAGCAUUUGGACGCUGUCUGGGCUGAGGGCUUGACCAGGCUCCAAGGGACUCAAGUCCUGGUGGCUGGAGGAGCAGCAGCCCCUCACCUUGAGCACAGGGACCUGAGUGCACAGGGAGGAGGCACAGGAGGGAGGGAGUGGUGGGGUCUUCCAGGCUUUCCUGGCUCAUGGCCCAGCAGGCAGGGCUCAGGCCUGCACAGCGAGGUCCUCACGCCGCUGUCUCUGCCUCCCAGGACCCCAGCCAUGAUCGGCUGCUCCUUCGUAGUGGACCGCGAGUACUUCGGAGACAUUGGGCUGCUGGACCCCGGCAUGGAGGUGUACGGCGGCGAGAACGUAGAACUGGGCAUGAGGGUGACAAUGGAUUGGGACCUUGGAAAAGUGGGUCCUUCGGCACAGAGGGUGG
This 864-nucleotide long non-coding RNA is filed under the name Pan troglodytes (chimpanzee). RNAcentral describes it as "long non-coding RNA NONPTRT004183". Lineage: Eukaryota; Metazoa; Chordata; Mammalia; Primates; Hominidae. The record is from RNAcentral.